This 113-nucleotide ribosomal RNA is filed under the name Propithecus coquereli (Coquerel's sifaka). Lineage: Eukaryota; Metazoa; Chordata; Mammalia; Primates; Indriidae. The record is from RNAcentral.
UACGGCCAUACCCCUGAACGCGCCCAAUCUCAUCUGAUCUCGGAAGCUAAGCAGGGUAGGUCCUGGUUAGUACUUGGAUGGGAGACUUUAUAUGUAAGUAAAUAUAUACAUAU